RNAcentral lists this ribosomal RNA (257 nucleotides) under uncultured bacterium. RNAcentral's name for it is "partial 16S ribosomal RNA". It matches the Rfam family "Bacterial small subunit ribosomal RNA", at positions 1246 to 1500 of the family's 1533-position model. The record is from RNAcentral.
GCAGCCAAGUCGUGAGGCGGAGCUAAUCCCUUAAAGCCAUUCUCAGUUCGGAUUGUAGGCUGAAACUCGCCUGCAUGAAGCUGGAGUUACUAGUAAUCGCAGAUCAGAAUGCUGCGGUGAAUGCGUUCCCGGGUCUUGUACACACCGCCCGUCACACCACGGAAGUUGGGGGCGCCCGAAGCCACUUAGCUAACCCUUUUGGGAAGCGAGUGUCGAAGGUGAAAUCAAUAACUGGGGUGAAGUCGUAACAAGGUAUC